Molecule: non-coding RNA, 609 nt
Filed under: Daphne mezereum
Lineage: Eukaryota; Viridiplantae; Streptophyta; Magnoliopsida; Malvales; Thymelaeaceae
Description: partial transfer RNA-Leu(UAA)
Rfam family: Group I catalytic intron (bases 1-181)
Source: RNAcentral
AUUUAAUUAAUUAUUGAGCCCGGUAUGGAAACCUACUAAGUGAGAACUUUCAAAUUCAGAGAAACCCUGGAAUUAAAAAUGGGCAAUCCUGAGCCAAAUCCUGUUUUACGAAAAUAAAUAAGAGUUCGUAAAGAAAGAAUUUAAAUAAAAAAGGGAUAGGUGCAGAGACUCAAUGGAAGCUGUUCUAACAAAUGGGGUUUGACUACCGUUAGUAAAGUAAUCCUUCUAUCGAAACUACGGAAAGGAUAAAAGAUAAACCUAUACGCAUAUCUAAAGGUAAUAAAAAAACUAUCUCAAAAAAAAAAAAGAUUUAAAUACGGGUUUGGGUCGUCUUUUUUUUUUUUUUCUGAAAAAUAGAAAGAAUUGUUGUGAAUUCGUAUUGAUUCCAAAUUGAAGAAAGAAUCAAAUACAACAUUCAUACAACAUUCAUUAAUAAAAUAAUUUACCCCAUAGUUUGAUAAAUCUUUUGAACAACUGGUUAAUCGGACGAGAAUAAAGAUAGAGUCCCAUUUUACAUGUCAAUAUAAAUGCUGACAACAAUGAAAUUUAUAGUAAGAGGAAAAUCCGUCGACUUUUAAAAUCGUGAGGGUUCAAGUCCCUCUAUCCCCA